GACGAACGCUGGCGGCGUGCUUAACACAUGCAAGUCGAACGGUGAAGCGCCUUCCUUUUUGGUGGGUGUGGAUGAGUGGCGAACGGGUGAGUAACACGUGAGUAACCUGCCCCCUUCUUCUGGAUAACCGCAUGAAAGUGUGGCUAAUACGGGAUAUUCUGGGUCUGUCGCAUGAUGGGUCUGGGAAAGAUAUUGUUUCGGUGGGGGAUGGGCUCGCGGCCUAUCAGCUUGUUGGUGGGGUGAUGGCCUACCAAGGCGGUGACGGGUAGCCGGCCUGCGAGGGUGGACGGUCACACUGGGACUGAGACACGGCCCAGACUCCGACGGGAGGCAGCAGUGGGGAAUAUUGCACAAUGGGCGCAAGCCUGAUGCAGCGACGCCGCGUGAGGGAUGGAGGCCUUCGGGUUGUGAACCUCUUUCGCCAGUGAAGCAGGCCUGCCUCGUUUGUGGGUGGGUUGACGGUAGCUGGAUAAGAAGCGCCGGCUAACUACGUG
RNAcentral lists this ribosomal RNA (494 nucleotides) under uncultured bacterium. RNAcentral's name for it is "partial 16S ribosomal RNA". It matches the Rfam family "Bacterial small subunit ribosomal RNA", at positions 28 to 507 of the family's 1533-position model. The record is from RNAcentral.